This 1591-nucleotide long non-coding RNA is filed under the name Strongylocentrotus purpuratus (purple sea urchin). Its description in RNAcentral is "uncharacterized LOC115925188". Lineage: Eukaryota; Metazoa; Echinodermata; Echinoidea; Camarodonta; Strongylocentrotidae. The record is from RNAcentral.
GACCGCCGGGUGAGCCCCAAAAUUCGUCAGUUUCGUGACCUCGGCUCGGCAUCUACUUUCUUAAUAGUGGAUAUUAUUAAAGAAUAUAUUUUGAUAUUAUAGUCACAACUCGUCAAUCGAAAAAAAUGCAAAUAAGCUCAAAAAAUGGAAAAAAGGUGCCUAAAAUCUUCUUUUUUUUUUCACGGAGGUUGUCCAAUCACUGUGCAUGUAUCAAGUAAAGGUUACAGCGCUUCAAGCUUUUUAGCCAAUCACAGGCAGUGUUGUGCACGUACCACUGGCGCGCGCUAUUUCGAGCUUCAGGUGUAGUAAUCUGUCGUCAACAACUGAAUGUUUUAGAGGAAAACACAGGUUUUUGCUGUAUGCAUACAAUUUCGACUCACAGGAAGGUGAUAUCUUUCAGUGGGAAGAGUUACAGAAAAUUCAAGGAGUGUGCAGAUCUUUGGAAGGACGUCAGUUUUGGGUUUGAACUAGAAAACAAAAUUGCUGCGAUUGCGGUCAACUUCGACUUCGACUCGUUCGAGCUGCAGACAGAGCAGUACUCGCCCGGCGCCUCGGGCGGCCGCGGAGGAGUGUACCAGGGAGGCCGUGUUCGAACUGCAACAAGUUCAACAAAAAAGAGGUAUGUCCAACCAGGAUACCAUGCGGGCUGCUACAGGCACUUCUGCAACAUUACAACAAACAAGUGAGCACAGAUGAGAUCAAGGCAAAGAAGGAACAAUAUUUAAAUCAUUGUAUGUCACAUUACUUGUAAAUGUAAAGUUUUUUUUAGGAAAUUCAAUGUAAAGACCUUUCUUGUGAUGCUCUUUUUUGCCAAUUUCCGCCAGAUUCGAUAAAGCAGAUAACUUGUAUCAAAUGGUAUUUGGACAAAUGUAUGAAAUAACCUGCUGAAAAUUUAAAAAAAAACAUGAUUUAGAUAUAGUAGACUGAAGAAGAAUAGCAGAGGCUGGGACCCUGUCAUCCAUGAAUUUUUAAAUUUUAUUUACAAUGUAUAUUUUAUGUGUGUUUUUGCUAAUACAUACGGGUACAUACAUGUUGUAAUGCUUUUUGAGCAAUUGCUUGAAAGAAUGUUUGUUAUUGAAAAUAUUACUUGUAAAUGUAAAGCCUUUUUUGGAGAUUCAAUGUAAAGACCUUUAUUGCGAUGCUCUAUAUUUUGCCAAUUUCCGCCAGAUUCGAUAAAGCAGAUAACUUUUACUAAAUGGCAUUUGGACAAAUGUAUGAAAUUACCUGCUGGAAAUGUUAAAGAACAUGAUUUAGAUAAACUGAAGAAGAAUAGCAGAGGCUGCGACCCUGCCAUCCAUGAAUAUAUAAUUUUUUUUAUCUAUAAUGUAUAUUUUAUGUGUAUUUUUGCUAAAACAUACAUACAUGUGAUCGCUUGAAAGAAUGUUUGUUAUUGAAAUUUUUUUAAUGUGAAUUGACAAUGUGUUGUAUAACUGAUGAUGAAUCAUUUCUCUACAUCAACCCAAAGAGCAGUAUCCAUAUAGUCAAGCAGGCUUACAAUUUUAUUGACCAUGUAUUUUGAGAAUGUGAGAUAGUAAUAUGUCAUAUAUUUGAUGUGAAACCAGAUUAUAAUUGGUCAAACAUGCCUUACAAA